This 253-nucleotide long non-coding RNA is filed under the name Mytilus galloprovincialis (Mediterranean mussel). The record is from RNAcentral. Lineage: Eukaryota; Metazoa; Mollusca; Bivalvia; Mytilida; Mytilidae.
AAUUUCAACAUGAUGACUAUAAACAAAAAGGAGUCAUAUCAUCACGAUCAUUGAUGCACAAGAACUUGAUCAUAUAAAUACAACAAUGUAAUUAUCAAUUGAAAGAUGGAACGAAUGAACAAAAUAUUAGAAUGUUGUUGUCCAAAUAAACUUGCUUUGUCUUCUCAUUUGAAUCUCUCCAUUCAAUAAAGAUGUACAGAGGAAGAUCUUUGAAGAACAGAUUGAAAAAAUGUUUUGUCUAAGAAUUGCAGGA